AAAUUCAAGAGCCAGCUGGGCCCUCAAAAAGCUGUGAUGUUAUGGUCAGACCCAAAGAAUUCAGAAAUGUUAACAUAAAUUAUUAGGGGAAGAGAAGAAGUGGAGAACCAGAACUUCUCCUUCUUGCUUUCCUCGGGGACAUAUAGUCCUCCAACUGGAGGGCACAUGAACAAUGUGAGACGUAAAUAAGACAUUAAGAUCUAACUUUUAAU
This 212-nucleotide unclassified non-coding RNA is filed under the name Hevea brasiliensis (rubber tree). Lineage: Eukaryota; Viridiplantae; Streptophyta; Magnoliopsida; Malpighiales; Euphorbiaceae. The record is from RNAcentral.